RNAcentral lists this ribosomal RNA (253 nucleotides) under uncultured bacterium. RNAcentral describes it as "partial 16S ribosomal RNA". It matches the Rfam family "Bacterial small subunit ribosomal RNA", at positions 524 to 776 of the family's 1533-position model. The record is from RNAcentral.
UACGUAGGGGGCAAGCGUUGUCCGGAUUUAUUGGGCGUAAAGAGCGUGUAGGCGGCUUUACAGGUCCGUUGUGAAAACUCGAGGCUCAACCCUGGGAUGCCGGUGGAUACUGUCGGGCUCGAGUCCGGAAGAGGCGAGUGGAAUUCCUGGUGUAGCGGUGAAAUGCGCAGAUAUCAGGAGGAACACCAAUGGCGAAGGCAGCUCGCUGGGACGUGACUGACGCUGAGACGCGAAAGCGUGGGGAGCAAACAGG